CACAAGCGGUGGAGCAUGUGGUUUAAUUCGACGCAACGCGAAGAACCUUACCAGGGCUUGACAUCCCCUGACCGCGUAUGAAAGUACGUUUUCACCCUCGGGUGACAGGGAGACAGGUGGUGCAUGGUUGUCGUCAGCUCGUGUCGUGAGAUGUUGGGUUAAGUCCCGCAACGAGCGCAACCCCUACGUUUAGUUGCUAACGCGUGAAGGCGAGCACUCUAGACGAACUGCCGUUGACAAAACGGAGGAAGUGGGAUGACGUCAAAUCAUCAUGCCCCUUAUGUUCUGGGCUACACACGUGCUACAAUGGCCGGUACAGACGGACGCAAAGCCGCGAGGUGGAGCAAAUCCUAAAAAGCCGGUCCCAGUUCGGAUUGCAGGCUGCAAUUCGCCUGCAUGAAGUCGGAAUCGCUAGUAAUCGCAGGUCAGCAUACUGCGGUGAAUACGUUCCCGGGCCUU
This 459-nucleotide ribosomal RNA is filed under the name uncultured Pelotomaculum sp. RNAcentral describes it as "bacterial SSU rRNA". It matches the Rfam family "Bacterial small subunit ribosomal RNA", at positions 924 to 1382 of the family's 1533-position model. The record is from RNAcentral. Lineage: Bacteria; Bacillati; Bacillota; Clostridia; Eubacteriales; Desulfotomaculaceae.